CCAAGAUGGCAGCACCCGUGGAUCUGUGGUUGAAGAAGGCCUUCACAGAGCUUCAAGCUAAAGUUAUUGACACUCAACAGAAGGCGAAGCUUGCAGACAUACAGAUUGAACAGCUAGACAGAACGAAAAAGCAUGCCCAUCUUACAGAUACAGAGAUUAUGACUUUGGUAGAUGAGACUAACAUGUAUGAAGGUGUAGGAAGAAUGUUUAUUCUUCAGUCCAAGGAGGUAAUUCACAAUCAGCUGUUAGAGAAACAGAAAAUAGCAGAGGAAAAAAUUAAAGAAUUGGAACAGAAAAAAUCCUACCUGGAGCGCAGCUUGAAGGAAGCUGAGGACAACAUCUGGGAGAUGCUGAUGGCACGAAGGGCACAGUAGGAAGCCUCUAGGGAAGCUUUCCCUCCUGACCCCUCCCAUUCCUGGCAAGGACAAGGGGCUUGUGAGGGAAAUAGCGUCUGCUGUACCCUGAUGGACAUUUUAUCUGGAUGGCCUGGUAACCCUAUG
This is an RNA transcript of Myotis lucifugus (little brown bat), 500 nucleotides long. It is a transcript of the gene named prefoldin subunit 1 pseudogene, with no coding region annotated. The transcript has a single exon. Lineage: Eukaryota; Metazoa; Chordata; Mammalia; Chiroptera; Vespertilionidae. The record is from RefSeq and is a predicted model, not a curated record.